Molecule: ribosomal RNA, 292 nt
Filed under: uncultured bacterium
Lineage: Bacteria
Description: partial 16S ribosomal RNA
Rfam family: Bacterial small subunit ribosomal RNA
Source: RNAcentral
GUGCCAGCAGCCGCGGUAAUACGUAGGGGGCAAGCGUUAUCCGGAUUCAUUGGGCGUAAAGAGCGCGUAGGCGGCUUGUUAAGCGAGAUGUGAAAACCGGGGGCUUAACCCGCGGCCUGCAUCUCGAACUGGCAGGCUUGAGUCUGGUAGAGGAGUGUGGAAUUCCCAGUGUAGCGGUGAAAUGCGCAGAUAUUGGGAGGAACACCAGUGGCGAAGGCGGCACUCUGGGCCACGACUGACGCUGAGGCGCGAAAGCUAGGGGAGCAAACAGGAUUAGAAACCCCCGUAGUCC